CCCCCGCCCUCAGUUCAUCUUUCAAAAGAAUAAUAAUGAACAAAAUGAUUAAAAAUAAAAAAGUCAGGUCAAGGUGUAGCAAAUGAAAUGGAAAGAAAUGGGCUACAUUUUUUAUAAUAAAAAACGCGGAAUAUUAUAUGAAAUAAAAUAUAAAGGAGGAUUUAGAAGUAAAAAGAAAAAAGAGUGUUCUUUUUAAAUUGGCAAUAGAGCACGCACACCCCGCCCGUCCCCCUUUUCAAAAUAUAUAAAAUUUAAAUAAAUAUAUAAAUUUAUAAGAAAAGGUAAGUCGUCACAUGGUAAGUCUCCCGGAAGGUGGCCUUGGAUAUCAAAAUAUAGCUUAAAUAAAGCACUUUGCUUACCCCAAAAAAAUAUUUGCUAAGCCAAAUUAUU
RNAcentral lists this ribosomal RNA (390 nucleotides) under Desmognathus fuscus (dusky salamander). RNAcentral describes it as "partial small subunit ribosomal RNA". Lineage: Eukaryota; Metazoa; Chordata; Amphibia; Caudata; Plethodontidae. The record is from RNAcentral.